Molecule: long non-coding RNA, 877 nt
Organism: Phyllopteryx taeniolatus (common seadragon)
Lineage: Eukaryota; Metazoa; Chordata; Actinopteri; Syngnathiformes; Syngnathidae
Exons: 3
Source: RefSeq, a predicted model, not a curated record
GGCCGAUGGACAUUUUUCGGGCUAAUUCUGGACGUCGUCGUUUGCGCGGACUUCGCCCAGCUAAGGCUAGCGCCGGUGGGCUAGCAGAAAGCAAUUAAAGGCACCACCUGUUUCAUCCUCCACUGUGGGGUAAUUGGAAACCUCUGUCAGCUGGCGCUCAGCUGCAGCUGCCCCCGAAAAAAAUAAAAAAAUAAAUCUCUAAAAAGAAAUGGCUUGGCGACAGGAGCAGUUGUAAAAUUCAUACGUUUCGUCUUCGGUUCUCCUGAUGAAAAGAAUAAUCCAAACCAUUUUCUUUGUAGCAUCUUCUGAAGCUUGACGGUGGGAGAGUUUUUCCAAACGCUUCUCAUUAAAUGUGGUUCAACUGCAUGAUCCAGAAUGCGUAAAUCCAUACGCCGCUGAAAAUUGGAUGCCACCUCGUCGAUCAUCCUUAUGCCUACACACCUCUACAUGUUUGAGCCGCGAAAAUAUAUCCGCUUAAAGCUACUGGCGGCUGGAAUAUAUCGCAGAGGGUGGCCGCGAGGUCUUUCACGCUGCGCCGAGAGGCGCUAGCCACCGGCUAGCUCGUGAGCGAACAUGAUUGGAUGGUCGAAAGUGAAGGGGCGAUGGUUUCGGAAACAGCUGGCACCUGUGUGUGACAUGGGCGGCACGCAUUACGGACGGAGGCUGCUCUUUGAUCCGCACUGACUCACCGCUGCUGGGAAUUCAUUACAUACAUCAGAGCAGCAGGAAGCAAACAUGAAUGGGAGGUCGACGGGUGCACGCGCCUCUCGUCAUUGCAUCGUUGUCCGACAUCGGCGGCCCCGCAGGCAAGAAAAACUAUCCACAAAUGUUAAAGACUGAAUUACAUCACUUGUACUAAAAUAAAAGGAAGCUAUUC